GCCUUCCACCGAAACCCCUAAGUCAGAACUGUCUUAAAUGCUUAUCCUAAUGGAAGGAGCCUGGCCCCGUCUAGCUAAGAGAAAGGGCUGAGGAACUGAAUAGAAAAAUGCUCCCUCAACAGCAUACCCCUGCUCUAAGUGUCACCGGGAAGUCACAUCAAAUGCUCUGAAGAGAGUGAAAUAUUUUGAAAAAAACAUCUGAGACCUGUUAAGAAACUGAAGAAUCUACAGCUGCUGGUGUGGGAAAGAGACAUAAAGAGGAUUUGCUUCAUUUUCUACUCAAAAUGGAAUGACCCUCCGAGUUGUCUCCACUCCAGUAGGCUGUCCAGUAAAUUCUGUCUGCCAUGGUUCUUCUGGACGUCUAACUCCGUCUCCUUAACUCAGGGAGUCCUUUCCCUGGGCUCCCUGCAACCCGCCCCGUCUCUUCAGUACAGCCUGGAAACGCUCUUCUGACGACACUCCUUAGGGUAAAGACAGACAACUGCCCAGGGAAAGGAUAGCUGAUUUUGGAACAAGGCUCUGACGGGGACUUUUCCUCAGGGUGCUUCAUAAAGAAGACACUGGGAGGUCGUGCUCAACUUCGUUGGCAGCAGGUAUCCUAAAUCCACUCCUGUGGCCUUAGCAGGCAUGGCUGCCCAGUGACCAGCCUGUGUUUAAUCAUCAGCCUGCUGAGGUGAUUUAUUUUGUAUCUUGUAUUUUUUAUUUUAUUUGUUUGCCUUCUGCUGAGUUCUGACCAGGCAGCGAUCCAUGUAACAAAAAGAUGAUAACAUUAUGAGAAGAGAACACAUGUAGAAUGUUAGCGGUCACUCAACAAGAGCUGGAGAUUUCUAAAAGACAGGGUGAGAAUACGUGAUGUUUAGAAACCACAAAUGGGACCCCUCUUCAGGUGGAAGCAUAUUUCCAAUCAAUCUGAACUAUGUGCUGUUGCAUGGGAAUAGACUUUUGAGAAGUAUGGGAUGAGGUGAUGAAGAAAAUUUACUGUGCUUAGGGAAGGCAAAUGAUUGGUAAAGUAUCUUAUCUAGGGUAGUUAAAAUACAUACACACACCAUACUUUGAUGAAUUCAGCCUAGGCACAGGGCCAUAAUUGACAUACCAGAGUCAACAAGGCAAAGAGUAGAAUAGGGGAAGCAAUUGUGGCAUAUUCAUACAAUGGCAUACAGCCACGUGCCAUAACAUGAGUUAAUCUCACAAACAUGUUGAGACCAAGAAAGAAGCCAGACAUAAAGGACUAGAUUUUCGAAUUCCAUUUAUAUGGAGUUCCAAACUAAGUAAAACGUAACAAGAGUAUUAGAAACUAGGAUCAUGGUUAACUUUGGGGAGAAGGGUGGGUGUUUUGACUGAUAAAAGACAUAAGCAAUAUUUCUGGGGGUGUCAGUAAUAUUCUCUCUCUACAUCUUAGUGAUGGUAACAUUGGCAUUUGCUCUGAGAAAUUCAUUGUGUGAUUCAUUGAACUUCACAAUUACGUUCUGUGUACUUUUCUCUAUGUGUGUUUUAUUAAAAAACC
Long non-coding RNA from Lynx canadensis (Canada lynx), 1504 nucleotides. RefSeq lists it as uncharacterized. The record is from RefSeq and is a predicted model, not a curated record. Lineage: Eukaryota; Metazoa; Chordata; Mammalia; Carnivora; Felidae. The transcript has 6 exons.